RNAcentral lists this unclassified non-coding RNA (79 nucleotides) under Batrachochytrium dendrobatidis. RNAcentral's name for it is "partial ITS1". Lineage: Eukaryota; Fungi; Chytridiomycota; Chytridiomycetes; Rhizophydiales. The record is from RNAcentral.
AGUCGAACAAAAUUUAUUUGUUUUUUCGACAAAUUUAAUUGAAAUGAUUUAAUUUAAUCCAAAAAAUAUAUUAAAAAAA